AUUGAACGCUGGCGGCAUGCCUUACACAUGCCAGUCGAACGGUAACGGGCCUUCGGGCGCCGACGAGUGGCGAACGGGUGAGUAAUACAUCGGAACGUGCCCGAUCGUGGGGGAUAACGAGGCGAAAGCUUUGCUAAUACCGCAUACGAUCUACGGAUGAAAGCAGGGGACCGCAAGGCCUUGCGCGGACGGAGCGGCCGAUGGCAGAUUAGGUAGUUGGUGGGAUAAAAGCUUACCAAGCCGACGAUCUGUAGCUGGUCUGAGAGGAUGAUCAGCCACACUGGGACUGAGACACGGCCCAGACUCCUACGGGAGGCAGCAGUGGGGAAUUUUGGACAAUGGGCGCAAGCCUGAUCCAGCCAUGCCGCGUGCAGGAUGAAGGCCUUCGGGUUGUAAACUGCUUUUGUACGGAACGAAAAGCCUUCUUUUAAUACAGGAGGGUCAUGACGGUACCGUAAGAAUAAGCACCGGCUAACUACGUG
RNAcentral lists this ribosomal RNA (482 nucleotides) under uncultured bacterium. RNAcentral's name for it is "partial 16S ribosomal RNA". It matches the Rfam family "Bacterial small subunit ribosomal RNA", at positions 30 to 507 of the family's 1533-position model. The record is from RNAcentral.